GAUGAACGCUGGCGGCGUGCCUAAUACAUGCAAGUCGAGCGGAAAGGCCUCUUCGGAGGUACUCGAGCGGCGGACGGCUGAGUAACGCGUAGGAACGUACCCCAAAGUGAGGGAUAACUGCUCGAAAGAGUAGCUAAUACCGCAUGUGGUCUAAGGAUUAAAGCUUCGGCGCUUUGGGAACGGCCUGCGUAAGAUUAGCUUGUUGGUGAGGUAACGGCUCACCAAGGCGACGAUCUUUAGCUGGUCUGAGAGGAUGAUCAGCCAGACUGGGACUGAGAACGGCCCAGACUCCUACGGGAGGCAGCAGUAGGGAAUUUCCACAAUGGGCGAAAGCCUGAUGGAGCAACGCCGCGUGCAGGAUGAAUGCCUUCGGGUUGUAAACUGCUUUUAUAUGUGACGAUUAUGACGGUAGCAUAUGAAUAAGGAUCGGCUAAUUCCGUG
RNAcentral lists this ribosomal RNA (441 nucleotides) under uncultured bacterium. RNAcentral describes it as "bacterial SSU rRNA". It matches the Rfam family "Bacterial small subunit ribosomal RNA", at positions 28 to 507 of the family's 1533-position model. The record is from RNAcentral.